UCAAAUCAUCAUGCCCCUUAUGCCCUGGGCUACACACGUGCUACAAUGGCCGGGUACAGAGGGAAGCGAAGCGGUAACGCGGAGCAAAUCCCAAAAAACCGGUCUCAGUUCGGAUUGUGGGCUGCAACUCGCCCACAUGAAGUCGGAAUCGCUAGUAAUCGCGGAUCAGCAAAGCCGCGGUGAAUACGUUCUCGGGGAUU
RNAcentral lists this ribosomal RNA (200 nucleotides) under uncultured organism. RNAcentral describes it as "partial small subunit ribosomal RNA". It matches the Rfam family "Bacterial small subunit ribosomal RNA", at positions 1185 to 1378 of the family's 1533-position model. The record is from RNAcentral.